GCAGUCUUCUUGCACCUAAGCACCCAGCAGUGCCAUCCACCUCCGGCCUGAGGGGGACCCCAAGAUGCUCUGCUGGGUCCCCAGGUGUGUCCAUGGCCUGGCACACAGUGGGCCUGGCCAGAACCUGGGAGAGACGUGAACAGAGCCUGGCAGUGGAAUAGGCUCUGAGGCCAGCGCGUUCUCAGCCUCAGCCCUUUGUCUGUGGCUUUGUGAUGGACAGAUAAAGAACAGGGGAGCCUAAGGUGGACAAGUCUCCUCUCUACCCUGGGUCUUCUUGGAACUGUGCUUGGAACCAGAGGCAAGAAUGGUGCCCAGGCUGAUCUCUUGGUCUGUUGAACUGCACCCACCAAGGACAGGGUGAAGGCUCUUCCUCUGGCCAGGAUCGUGGGCUUCAGGGGCCCAGAGAGCCUCCAACCCGAGACGGGAAGCUGACAGCUGGUAAGAGCUCCAUCCAAGCAUCUCCCUACUUCAAGUGCCCAUCUCCAGCCUACCUGGCUACCAGGCUGUAAGAACUUCCAGCCUAGAGCCCUGAUGAAGCUCUGGCUACCCCUACCUUGGCACUUGGAAAGCAGUACUUGGGACCAGGAUAGACAGGUUGAACAGGAUAGGCAGAGGGUUAUAGUGGCAUGUGGCAAGACUCCAUUGGGCCAGAGUUAUCCAUCUGAGCUGUUUGCCUCCAAGUCCCACAGACCUGGAACCCCUAACUCUUUUGUGACCAAGGGGGUCUCUUCUGUUUCAGCUCCCUAAUCCUCCAGAGUUAACUCCUUCCAAUUUGAGUGCAUCAGUUUUUGGCUGGUACACUUUUCUGGUAUCAUCUUUUCUCCCUGGUAAAGGACAUGCCCAUGAGCACCAAGCUUUAGGUUCCCAGUGGGAUGUGGACCAUGGGGGAAGGGGACAGUUCUUCCAGGGUCUCCAGAUCAGGAUAUCCAACUGAAGCCCUGGGGUGCUGGCGCCACCACAUGGUUUUGCACAGAACUACAGUGGCUGAGGGGCACAAGAAUGCCCAGGGGCAGAAACCCUGAGAGCAUCAGUUGUGUCUGGUCUAGAUCCUACCCAACCAGCUGGGCUCCAGGAGUAAUUACUUACCAAGUACUUACCAGUAUCUAUCGUAACCCAGAGCUGCAGGGCUCAGCAUGCAGUUCCAAGCUCAACCUGAGCUGGAAUUACCUGGA
RNAcentral lists this long non-coding RNA (1172 nucleotides) under Cricetulus griseus (Chinese hamster). Its description in RNAcentral is "lncRNA (ENSCGRG00015029618.1)". Lineage: Eukaryota; Metazoa; Chordata; Mammalia; Rodentia; Cricetidae. The record is from RNAcentral.